AGUGAACGCUGGCGGUAGGCCUAACACAUGCAAGUCGAACGGCAGCACAGUAAGAGCUUGCUCUUACGGGUGGCGAGUGGCGGACGGGUGAGGAAUACAUCGGAAUCUACUUUUUCGUGGGGGAUAACGUAGGGAAACUUACGCUAAUACCGCAUACGACCUACGGGUGAAAGCAGGGGAUCUUCGGACCUUGCGCGAUUGAAUGAGCCGAUUUCGGAUUAGCUAGUUGGCGGGGUAAAGGCCCACCAAGGCGACGAUCCGUAGCUGGUCUGAGAGGAUGAUCAGCAACACUGGAACUGAGACACGGUCCAGACUCCUACGGGAGGCAGCAGUGGGGAAUAUUGGACAAUGGGCGCAAGCCUGAUCCAGCCAUACCGCGUGGGUGAAGAAGGCCUUCGGGUUGUAAAGCCCUUUUGUUGGGAAAGAAAAGCAGCAGGUUAAUACCCCGCUGUUCUGACGGUACCCAAAGAAUAAGCACCGGCUAACUUCGU
This 491-nucleotide ribosomal RNA is filed under the name uncultured bacterium. RNAcentral's name for it is "partial 16S ribosomal RNA". It matches the Rfam family "Bacterial small subunit ribosomal RNA", at positions 29 to 506 of the family's 1533-position model. The record is from RNAcentral.